AGAAGAUGAUGAUGACACCUUCUUAGAAGAUCCUUAAAUAUCUCUCAUGCAUCAUAUAAUGUCUCAAGCUCAAAUUGAGCAGAAGAAGAGAUAUCAUUCCUUAACUU
This is a non-coding RNA of Gossypium hirsutum (cotton), 107 nucleotides long. Lineage: Eukaryota; Viridiplantae; Streptophyta; Magnoliopsida; Malvales; Malvaceae. The record is from Rfam.